Molecule: ribosomal RNA, 497 nt
Filed under: uncultured bacterium
Lineage: Bacteria
Description: partial 16S ribosomal RNA
Rfam family: Bacterial small subunit ribosomal RNA
Source: RNAcentral
GAUGAACGCUGGCGGCGUGCCUAAUACAUGCAGGUCGAGCGAACAGAUGAGGAGCUUGCUCCUCUGACGUUAGCGGCGGGCGGGUGAGUAACAAGUGGAUAACCUACCUAUAAGACUGGGAUAACUUCGGGAAACCGGAGCUAAUACCGGAUAAUAUAUUGAACCGCAUGGUUCAAUAGUGAAAGACGGUUUUGCUGUCACUUAUAGAUGGAUCCGCGCCGCAUUAGCUAGUUGGUAAGGUAACGGCUUACCAAGGCAACGAUGCGUAGCCGACCUGAGAGGGUGAUCGGCCACACUGGAACUGAGACACGGUCCAGACUCCUACAGGAGGCAGCAGUAGGGAAUCUUCCGCAAUGGGCGAGAGCCUGACGGAGCAACGCCGCGUGAGUGAUGAAGGUCUUCGGAUCGUAAAACUCUGUUAUUAGGGAAGAACAAAUGUGUAAGUAUCUAUGCACGUCUUGACGGUACCUUAUCAGAAAGCCACGGCUAACUACGUG